UUUAAGUACAACAAUGAGUUUUCACGUUCAAUUUUGAUCGCCUGUCUUCUUUGAAAUUUUUUUAUAAGUAGUAUUUUUGUUGUUUUAAGAUAAUAAAACAUGAAAAGUACUUUACUCGUGACUUAUGAUUUUUAUUUUUUUUAAAAAAAAAUUAAAUAAGAUGGAUGAUUAAAAUUGGACGCGGAAAACCAUGGCUGCGGUUAAA
Molecule: non-coding RNA, 205 nt
Organism: Oryza meridionalis
Lineage: Eukaryota; Viridiplantae; Streptophyta; Magnoliopsida; Poales; Poaceae
Source: Rfam